Gordionus sp. m RMFG-2023 is the source of this 650-nucleotide long non-coding RNA. RefSeq lists it as uncharacterized. The transcript has 3 exons. The record is from RefSeq and is a predicted model, not a curated record. NCBI's taxonomy places the organism in Eukaryota, Metazoa, Nematomorpha, Gordioida, Chordodea, Parachordodidae.
UUUCUGAAAAAUGUCAAUUAAAGAAAAGAUAUCUGUCAAUUUAUAAAUAUUAUACACUAUAUUUAUUUUUUUAAAUUUUUAGAAAAUUCAUUUACAUAAUGGGAUUUAGAUUUUCACAGACCUUUUGAAUAAAGAAUCCCUUUUAUGAUAAGAUAAUCCUACUCAAUUAACAAUAUAAAGAAACAUUUUUGGAUUUUAAAAAGAUAAAUAAAUAUAAUAAAGAAUGAAGCUAUUUUUAUUUAAUCUUAAUAUGUAUACUUAAUAAGUUAUCUGGGUUUUGAACCAUGGCAAUUAUUUUUGCUAAUAAUUUUUUAAAUAAUCAUUUUCAAUGGGGUAAAUAUUACCACAUUUUUGUGAGGCAAUCAGGUUGGACCCAUAAUUGAUUUCUAUUUAUGAUAAAUGAUUCUUUGAGGUAAGUGUAAAUUAUAUACAAAAUUAUAAGUGAGAGGUGAAAACCAUUGUGUGAUAAAAAAUUUGUUAAAAGAAUUGAUAAAUUUUUUAUUUCAUUAUUAGAUAAAUUUUAUAUAACAUCAAAUUUUCCAUAAUAUAUUUGGCCUUUUUUCUAAAUAUUUAUAGAAAUCUUGGGAGAAUGAACAGAUAAUCUAUUCCUCUCAUUUGAUUAUUGAUUUAAGAAAAGAUUUCAAUUAAAU